RNAcentral lists this ribosomal RNA (425 nucleotides) under uncultured bacterium. Its description in RNAcentral is "partial 16S ribosomal RNA". It matches the Rfam family "Bacterial small subunit ribosomal RNA", at positions 354 to 796 of the family's 1533-position model. The record is from RNAcentral.
GUUAGGAAUAUUAGACAAUGGGGGCAACCCUGAUCUAGCCAUGCCGCGUGAGUGAUGAAGGCCUUAGGGUCGUAAAGCUCUUUCGCCGGGGAAGAUAAUGACUGUACCCGGUAAAGAAACCCCGGCUAACUCCGUGCCAGCAGCCGCGGUAAUACGGAGGGGGUUAGCGUUGUUCGGAAUUACUGGGCGUAAAGCGCGCGUAGGCGGAUCGGAAAGUUGGGGGUGAAAUCCCGGGGCUCAACCCCGGAAUUGCCUUCAAAACUCCCGGUCUUGAGGUCGAGAGAGGUGAGUGGAAUUCCGAGUGUAGAGGUGAAAUUCGUAGAUAUUCGGAGGAACACCAGUGGCGAAGGCGGCUCACUGGCUCGAUACUGACGCUGAGGUGCGAAAGCGUGGGGAGCAAACAGGAUUAGAAACCCCAGUAGUCC